GACGAACGCUGGCGGCGUGCCUAAUACAUGCAAGUAGAACGCUGAAGAGAGGAGCUUGCUCUUCUUGGAUGAGUUGCGAACGGGUGAGUAACGCGUAGGUAACCUGCCUGGUAGCGGGGGAUAACUAUUGGAAACGAUAGCUAAUACCGCAUAAAAUGGAUUAUCGCAUGAUAAUCCAUUGAAAGGUGCAAAUGCAUCACUACCAGAUGGACCUGCGUUGUAUUAGCUAGUUGGUGGGGUAACGGCUCACCAAGGCGACGAUACAUAGCCGACCUGAGAGGGUGAGCGGCCACACUGGGACUGAGACACGGCCCAGACUCCUACGGGAGGCAGCAGUAGGGAAUCUUCGGCAAUGGACGGAAGUCUGACCGAGCAACGCCGCGUGAGUGAAGAAGGUUUUCGGAUCGUAAAGCUCUGUUGUAAGAGAAGAACGAGUGUGAGAGUGGAAAGUUCACACUGUGACGGUAUCUUACCAGAAAGGGACGGCUAACUACGUG
Molecule: ribosomal RNA, 497 nt
Filed under: uncultured bacterium
Lineage: Bacteria
Description: partial 16S ribosomal RNA
Rfam family: Bacterial small subunit ribosomal RNA
Source: RNAcentral